UUACGGUCUCUGGUGACGUAGGGCUACGAAUACGGCCGUAACCGAAGAACGCUUUGAAAACAUCGCGUACGAUGUGUACAUCCGCAGAGAGCGCAGUGAGUCCGUCGUUAGAUAGAGACGUUGGUCAGUUCAGUGGACCUGGCCGGCUUGAGGGCGAAUCCGUCCCGACGUUAUCUGUUUUCACAGGAUGGAGAGCAGCGAGGACGAUAACGCCUAUUCUACACUCCGUAGCAAAAAUGGU
Molecule: long non-coding RNA, 241 nt
Organism: Poecilia latipinna (sailfin molly)
Lineage: Eukaryota; Metazoa; Chordata; Actinopteri; Cyprinodontiformes; Poeciliidae
Exons: 2
Source: RefSeq, a predicted model, not a curated record